GAGAGCCUGGGGCGGGGCUCCGCCUCGCCGCGCUCCUCCGGCGGUCGUGGAAACCGGAAGUGGGCCGGGCCGGCGGCGCGGCUUCCGCGUCCGGGCGCGGCUCCCCCGGCCCCCGCGGUCGUGCUCCCCGGCCCGGAAGGCAUCGUGGGGGCCGUCGCGCGCGUUCGUGCAGCAGCAUUUCCCGCGCGGGCGCGGUGGCCGUCGCAGAGAAGGGGCGGCUGGCGGCCGCGGCCCCCUCCGCCCCGGGCAGGGCCCCGGCUCCGGGCACGAGUGAGCCGGCCCGGAAGGCUGGGGGCCUCCGCGCCGCGGCCCGCGCGCACGGCUGGACGCUCUGCUCGCCCUCCUCCGUCCGACGAGGAUUUGCGGGGCGCAUGCCAUUACCCGGAAGCUGGCGGGCGCGGGAGUCGGGACCCCGGCAGCCGGGGGUCCCCGUAAACCGCCGUCCGUCGGAGGAGUAAGGACCUCGGAAAGUUUGCAGCCCUCUCCCCCCAUAAAUCCAAGGGAAAGCUCGCAGAGAUCGUCUUCAACGUCUUCAGAACCCUGGAAGCUAAUUAACCGAAGGACUGCAGCAUCCCAGCAGCGUUUGUUUAAGAAAAGCAGCCCAAUCUCGGUAAGAACAGGGAGCUGGGAGGUGUUUCCACUUUCCCUGGUUAAAGCUGCUGCCCAGCCCGGAGGUAAUCCUGGAAACGACAGCCCACACUCCUGGUACUGAAGGGAGCGGAACCCCUUCCGUGCAGAUAAUUGCCGUAUUUGACUUGUGUGCGGGCCCUCCUGCAAACCUCGCUGCGCUCGCCUCGACCGGACUGAGAUGCUUCCCUGCUCGAACAUAAGGAGCAGUCAGUGCCGAGAGCUGACCCGGACCUGACUGAGACCUCAUCUCAGCCGCCGCCCACAGACUGACUUCGUGUUUGGUUUGUGAACUCCCUACCCCCUUGUUAUCUUGUUUGUUGUGUGCCGUUUAAGAAGCCAAGUUAAUCACAUGGUGAAGUAUCACUGAGGCUGGAAUCCUAAACCUGCUUUAUAUUAACCUUGCUUUCUGAUUGAAUAAAGCGGACACUGGGGAAAGACACAGCUCGUGUGUGCACCUUCACAGCGUGUUCAGGACACGUGCUCUACUGCAUAUUUGAAUAGAUAGAAGAAAGAAUUAGUAAACUUGAAGUUAGGUCACUUGAGAUUGUCCAGUCUGAGGAACAGGAAAAAAAAAAGACCAUUGGUCUUUUUGGUGGAACACCAUUAAGCAUACCAGCCUAGGCAUAAUUUUCAGGAGCAGAAAAGAGACAGAAAAGGCACAGAAAGAAUAUUUGAAAAAAUAAUGCCUGAAAAUUUCCUAGAUUUGAUGAAAAGCAUGAAUCUUCACAUCCAGGAAAGUCAAUGAAUGCCAAGUAGGAUAAACUGAAAAAGAUCCCCACUUAGACACUUCAUAAAUUGUUGAAAGCCAAAGAAAAAGACUCUUGAAACCAGCAAGAGAAGUGACUCAUCACAUAUAAGCGAUCGAAAUACAAACACGUAUUUCACAUUAGAAACCAUGGAGGUCAAAAGGCAGUGGGAUUACCUUUUCCAAGUGCUGAAAGAGCAAACCUACCAAGAAUUCUAUAUAUGGCAAAACUGUCCCUCAGAAACAAAGGAUAAAUUAAGACAACCCCAGAUAAAUAAACUAGGAGAGCUUGUUACAAGAACCCUGCCCUCCAAAAACUACUCAAUGGGGUCUUCAGGCUGAAAUAAAAGGACACGAGGCAGUAACUCAAAUCCACAUGAAGAAAUAACACCAGUUAAAAAAAAAAAAAAGGGACCAGUAAAGGUACAUAGGUAAAUAUAAAAACAAAUAUAAAUGCAUUUUUGUUUAUAAUUUUUUCCUAUCUGAUUAAAAAAACCUGCAUAAAAGUGAUAACUAUAAAUGUGUGGACAGGCACAGGAGGCAUAAAGAUGGAAUUUGUGACAACAGCAUAAAGAAGGGGUGCGGUUAUAUAAGAGCAACAUCUUUUAAUACUACUGAAGUUAACUUAC
This is a long non-coding RNA of Mirounga angustirostris (Northern elephant seal), 2004 nucleotides long. RefSeq lists it as uncharacterized. The transcript is spliced from 2 exons. NCBI's taxonomy places the organism in Eukaryota, Metazoa, Chordata, Mammalia, Carnivora, Phocidae. The record is from RefSeq and is a predicted model, not a curated record.